Molecule: ribosomal RNA, 465 nt
Filed under: uncultured Klebsiella sp.
Lineage: Bacteria; Pseudomonadati; Pseudomonadota; Gammaproteobacteria; Enterobacterales; Enterobacteriaceae
Description: bacterial SSU rRNA
Rfam family: Bacterial small subunit ribosomal RNA
Source: RNAcentral
CCUACGGGAGGCUGCAGUGGGGAAUAUUGCACAAUGGGCGCAAGCCUGAUGCAGCCAUGCCGCGUGUGUGAAGAAGGCCUUCGGGUUGUAAAGCACUUUCAGCGGGGAGGAAGGCGGUGAGGUUAAUAACCUCAUCGAUUGACGUUACCCGCAGAAGAAGCACCGGCUAACUCCGUGCCAGCAGCCGCGGUAAUACGGAGGGUGCAAGCGUUAAUCGGAAUUACUGGGCGGAAAGCGCACGCAGGCGGUCUGUCAAGUCGGAUGUGAAAUCCCCGGGCUCAACCUGGGAACUGCAUUCGAAACUGGCAGGCUAGAGUCUUGUAGAGGGGGGUAGAAUUCCAGGUGUAGCGGUGAAAUGCGUAGAGAUCUGGAGGAAUACCGGUGGCGAAGGCGGCCCCCUGGACAAAGACUGACGCUCAGGUGCGAAAGCGUGGGGAGCAAACAGGAUUAGAUACCCCUGUAGUC